Small nuclear RNA from Rhinopithecus roxellana (golden snub-nosed monkey), 196 nucleotides. RefSeq annotates it as U2 spliceosomal RNA. NCBI's taxonomy places the organism in Eukaryota, Metazoa, Chordata, Mammalia, Primates, Cercopithecidae. The record is from RefSeq and is a predicted model, not a curated record. The transcript has a single exon.
AUCACUUCUUGGCCUUUUGGCUAAGAUCAAGUGUAGUAAAUGUUUCCACUACCUACUGAACAAGACGGUACAGGGAUGCCCCCCACCCCAAAACAAUGAUUAGCACAAUGAGAAACUUCACCUAAGGUUGGUUACACCCCAGAUCCCUUCUUUUUUUUUUUUUUUUUUUUUUUUUUGAGGCAGAGUCUCACUCUGU